This 497-nucleotide ribosomal RNA is filed under the name uncultured bacterium. RNAcentral's name for it is "partial 16S ribosomal RNA". It matches the Rfam family "Bacterial small subunit ribosomal RNA", at positions 28 to 507 of the family's 1533-position model. The record is from RNAcentral.
GAUGAACGCUGGCGGCGUGCCUAAUACAUGCAAGUCGAGCGAACAGACGAGGAGCUUGCUCCUCUGACGUUAGCGGCGGACGGGUGAGUAACACGUGGAUAACCUACCUAUAAGACUGGGAUAACUUCGAGAAACCGGAGCUAAUACCGGAUAAUAUAUUGAACCGCAUGGUUCAAUAGUGAAAGACGGUUUUGCUGUCACUUAUAGAUGGAUCCGCGCCGCAUUAGCUAGUUGGUAAGGUAACGGCUUACCAAGGCAACGAUGCGUAGCCGACCUGGGAGGGUGAUCGGCCACACUGGAACUGAGACACGGUCCAGACUCCUACGGGAGGCAGCAGUAGGGAAUCUUCCGCAAUGGGCGAAAGCCUGACGGAGCAACGCCGCGUGAGUGAUGAAGGUCUUCGGAUCGUAAAACUCUGUUAUUAGGGAAGAACAAAUGUGUAAGUAACUAUGCACGUCUUGACGGUACCUAAUCAGAAAGCCACGGCUAACUACGUG